CCAAGUAUUUACUAAAAUUCCUAAAAAACUUGUGUAAAUUUAAAUCACUUUGUGAAACUUAUAAGCAAUAUUACAUUAGAUUUGUAAAAUUACCGAAGGAAGUUGCAAAAUCACAUUCAUAUUAUAAAAUCACAUAAUAUUUGUAAUUAUUUUUACUAUUAUAAUGUAAAAUUAUAAGUUUUUUGUAAAUUUAUACCUUAAUUCUUAAAUUUACCUUGGCUAUGUAAACCGCGGCCAAUGAGAGUGCGUGUUUACGCGUCCCCAAGCGAUUCCGAAAUUUUCAACGUAAAUGACGACUCAGUUAUUAUUUUCGACUUACGACAGGUAAUAAAGAAUUUUGUGCUAGUCCUUCUGUUUAACUUUACUAUUUCUUCGUGCCUAUAAGUAUCAGGUAAGUUAAAUAUUUACAUUAAUACCUGUUAACAAUGAUUACUUGUCAAAUUGCCUGACUGGUCAGGUUGCCAAUUUCCAUAUAAUCUGUGCGUGGUCCUUUAUGAAAAUGUCUUAUUACCUAUUAGUAUGCAUUUAUUAUAGAUUUUCAGCAAGUAAAGGUUAUAUAAACUUGUAAUAGAAAACUUGACAUUACCGAUGAAUCUUCUCUUGAGCUUGGUAUGGAACCAUGCAUUGUAUUAUGUGGUGGCUCUAACAAUACUAUAAAAAUAUACCUAGAACAAGAACCUGUUACGGAAAAAUGUGACUCAUUUGGAGGAGCAUUGCAUUGCUUAAUUGCUCUUUAUUUUGGAAUAUCCCAAAGAAGCAUCCUGUAUUUUGGAGUUCCUUCAAAGAUAUAUUUCAAAAAUACACCCCAAAGCAGGAACCAAAUCGAAAAAACAAAAUCUUUCGAAAAGAAAAGUUAUUUCAUAUUUAACGAAGUUAGCCAGGAUAGAAUAAUAAAUUAUUAUUUUAUGAAAUAAUUAUUUAUAAAUUAUUAUAUAAUUUUUUUUGAGUCCAUAAAUGUUAAAUGAAUUUGUUCCAACCUUAAAGGUUUUUUUUUGUGAGAUUUAGCUUGUAAGUAGGUGCCGAUAUUAACAUAUUUGAUAUUAUAUGGGGCCCCAAAAUGUAUAUUGACUAUGUCAAAGUUCUUGGCUACUUCAAGAGUUUUAAGAGUUUAUGUUUUUGUUUGUAUAUUGAAGAGUUUAAGUUUCAAAUAUACUUGU
This is a long non-coding RNA of Anthonomus grandis grandis, 1157 nucleotides long. RefSeq lists it as uncharacterized. Lineage: Eukaryota; Metazoa; Arthropoda; Insecta; Coleoptera; Curculionidae. The transcript has 3 exons. The record is from RefSeq and is a predicted model, not a curated record.